GUGGAUUAGAUACCCUGGUAGUCCACACCGUAAACGAUGAUUACUAGGUGUAGGGAGGUCAGACCUUUCUGUGCCGGAGUUAACACAAUAAGUAAUCCACCUGGGGAGUACGGCCGCAAGGUUGAAACUCAAAGGAAUUGACGGGGGCCCGCACAAGCAGUGGAGUAUGUGGUUUAAUUCGACGCUACGCGAAAAACCUUACCAGGUCUUGACAUCCAACUAACGAAGUAGAGAUACAUUAGGUGCCCUUCGGGGAAAGUUGAGACAGGUGGUGCAUGGUUGUCGACAGCU
This 291-nucleotide ribosomal RNA is filed under the name uncultured bacterium. RNAcentral's name for it is "partial 16S ribosomal RNA". It matches the Rfam family "Bacterial small subunit ribosomal RNA", at positions 773 to 1060 of the family's 1533-position model. The record is from RNAcentral.